This is a long non-coding RNA of Cyprinus carpio carpio, 3149 nucleotides long. NCBI's taxonomy places the organism in Eukaryota, Metazoa, Chordata, Actinopteri, Cypriniformes, Cyprinidae. The record is from Ensembl.
GCAGCUUAUAGGCAUAUAAAUGUUAAUUUUCCAAAUUCUUCACAUUAAACCUUUGUAAUAAAAUGAAUAUCACCGAGCACUUUUGGGGGAAGAAAAGAGAUGAACACUCCAGCAUGAAAUGGGAUUUUGAUAUAUGAAAGUGAUUUAUUUAACUCGUGUCUUUCUCAGGCAUUUCACAACUGGGUCUUACUAACGUGUUACUCUGUUUCCAGCAUCUCAUUCGUUUAGCUGCACACUGUUUCUUCCAAGAACCUGGAGGAAGCUAAUUUAAAAAUAUUUACGUAAAGCAGAAAUGUGCAGUGUUUUUGCACAUUGCAGAAAUGUGCAAUGUGCAAUCUACUUUUUUUGUGGGAAAAAGCAAAUAGCUUUAAGAAAACAUCCUCUAGGGAGUGAAAAAGGUCGGCACCAAAUAUUUCAGUUUCCCCAGAGCCUACUCUAAAAACUGGAACUGAACCAAACUUUACUUUUGCUAUUAAUAAUUUUUAUUUACUUUUAUUUGGUUUAUUAACAACAAAAACAAUACAGCAGAAUGUAUCCUACUUAAAAAAAAAAUCUACUUGAUCAGUUUUAAUCCACACUGAUGCAGUUUCCUCAAAACUAUCUUUUGACUCAACACGCUGCAAGGACAGAUAAAGUUGAACAACAACACGAGUCUAGACUCAUCAGCCUUGAGGUUUCUUCAGUUGGGACAGACAAAGGAACAAACAGGAAACUUGUUCUGCGGCUGUUCAAGAGAAGGUGUAGGCCCCGCCCUCUGGGAUUACGAUUGGCCGUGAGAAAGAUGCACACCACGGCAACAGCUUCUGAUUGGCUAGCUGAGCUGUGAACUAAUGUUCUUUAACUCUGCUGGAGUGUGUAAACAGCUUUUUCAGAGUAGAGGGUGGUUGAAAAAUUUAAAAGGCCUGGACCCCAGCAAGAGAAGUAAAUGUUAAUGUUCUCAGCUGUGAAUUCUUUCUAUGGGGCCUCUGAAAUAUAUCAGGUCCACCUCAUUAGGUCAAAAUAGCCAAACUUUAUCUCAUUUAUCUAGUAUUCGCCUAGUGUGUCUAGUAAAAGCUAAAGCUUUUUUUGGAAAAGCAUAACAGUACACUAUUAUUUCUGGGUUUUGCGAAUUGCGUUCUGACUCAUUUCAGAAUGUAAUGAGCAAUUAUAAUGUCUGUUUCUUUUCACAUACUUGGGUGGAGCAUGUUUUCGGACCAAAAAAUCUAUUUUUUUUUUUUUUUUAGCUGUUUGAAGUCAGCAUGAGUUAAAAUUCACCCCAUCAAUUUUCUAAAUGCAUGUUAAUUAUUUGAAUGAUUCAUCCAUGAAAAUGUUUCAUUUUUAAAAAAAAAAAAAUCAAAAUUUAAACUUCACAGACUUCUGGUGAUGUAUGCCUUACUUUUCCAGUCAUUUAAUCCACGUAAAUAUAUCACACCUUUCUUAUAAUCUGCAAGCUCACAUUCUGAUCUGCCUCCAUCCAAUCAACAACCGCAAGAAAACAAUUUUCCGUUCAGAGCACUCACUCCCAGACCACAGCAAAACUGCUUAGUAUAAAUGAUUUGUUAAUUGAUGGGAGUGCAAAGCUGAUUCACAUUAGCACACAGAUUGAGAGAGAAAAAAAACAAUCAUAUCCUGUCACCCCACAGACCAAAACUCCACAGAAGCCACUGCUCCAGAAGAGUCGGUCCCCACUCAGGGACUCACCCCAAGGAUGGUGGAGACCUUCGAAAACACUGACUCCUUCCCCUCGCAGGUGGAGGGUGCGGCGGUGCAGCCCGUGAAGGGAGUCCGACAGCAGGUCAGGAGUGGACCCAAGAAGAAGAAAGACCUUGGGACUCUCGGUUAUGUUCUGGCCGUCUUCAUGAUGGCCAUUAUCAUCCUACUUGGAGGUGGCAUCACAAUAGGAUACUUCUACAAACGGGGUCGUGACCUCAAGAAACAGCACGAGCAGCGGGUUUACGAGCGUGAGAUGCAUCGCAUCACUCUUCCACUCUCAGCCUUUGCCAACCCCACCUGCGAGCUGGUGGAUGAGAACACCAUCGUCAUCACAGCUCAACCCAACAACCAGACCCCCACUCAGGAGCCCGUCGAGGGGGCCGACCCGCUUAUGGGGACAGCAGGGACCCCUGGAGCCUGAUGGAGGAACAGGAUGAGCGCCUGGAAAGGCGUCUUUGUUAAGACAUGUCUAUGCAGUAUUGCAGAAUCUCAGAGGACUAAACCCCAUGUCCACCUUCCCUCUGCCUGUCGUCUCUUUUCUCUUUACCUUGCCUUUACAGCACGGUUUCACAGUAAAGGUAGGGCAUAUGCCUUGAGAGAGUGGUGGAAAGCAUUUUUUGUCCCAGACAGUGUCCUUAUUUUCUCAACAAAGUUGUUGGGGAAAGUAGGACAUGUGGGGAUACACUGGAAGAAGGUGAAAUGGUGGGUUUGUAUUAAUAUGCAUGUCAGGGAUUCCCGUGGAGAAAAAUUGCAAGUACGUUUUGUGAGCAUCAUCACAGGGCAUGAACUUUCCCUGCUUGUUAAACUCCAACGAGACGGCGACUGUCCAGUUAACUGUGCCGUGUCCUCUGGAUCAGAUCAUCAGAUGUUCUGGGGUUUUGAAAGAGAAGACAAUCCACUCUUAUCUUCUUUCCUGCCUUUUCUGUUGUUUUUGUUCCUAACGCAGUUGUGGUGGAGAGUUGAGACUGAAAUUGUACAUGUGUAUCUGAAUUUGUUGCUCUACAGCUGGGCUGUUUAUUCUUUAGGGAGAUUUGGUUAGCAACUAGAGCUAAUUGAGUUAAUUGCCUUUGAUAGCUCUUCCCCAGAAAUCCAUAUUCAUUAGGCAGAUCAUGUGGCCUGGGAUGCUAGCGCUAAGCUAGGUGAAGGUUUUGACUAAAUGAAGAGGAAAUCUUUCCAGAGAUCUUGCCUUAGUAAAUUACAUUUGAAUGUAUUGUUGCUCCUGUGGCCACAGUCUGAUGAAGAGCAAGUGAGCGCUGUCAUGACUUCAGCAAACCAGUCAGAGUGGGUCUCUGGGUACAUUUACUGUAUCCGUGUUCAUUUGUUCCUGAACAUACAGAUGGUCUGAAAUAGGACAUAGUUUGAAGCUUGAACCUGAAACUGAGAGUGUGUUCAAGAUGACGUAUUAAAGUAAUGUAUUAUGGUUUUAUUUAACAGAGAUGGGAUUUUUUUGAUGAAUG